AAGAAGGAAGGCUUCAAAGCGUGGCUGAGUGGCCGGUCCCCUCCAGGCCAGUCAGCCAGUCUCUGGGCUCUACCUCUGUACAUCUGAAAGGUCAUCAGGUCACAGAUACAUUAAUGCAAAGAUGCAUUAUCAGCAGGUGAAUGGUGACAUCUUGGCCCGAAGAAAUCCUUGAUGCUUUAUGCAGCCUGAGUUCAAAACAGCAACGAAGAGCAAGCCAGGCAACGCAGGUGUACCUGCUUCACUUUUCUGGGCAACCCUGGGCUCCGGCUGUAUUUUCCUGUUGUAAGGGUGUGAACACUGAGGCUCAGGAGAAGGAUGAGACUGGCCCCAGGGCAUCAGUUUUACUUUGUACCAUGCCACCCCUCUGUUCUAAAGCUGCAGUGGCCCCCAGCUGUACUCUGAAUGCACACUAUUCCAGAAGCCUCAGCCUCAGCUGCUUCCUGACCUCUGCUGCAGGUGUGUGGUGCCCAUAGCGGGAGCAACAACAGCUAACUCGUCCUGCGAACCUGUUUCCAAGGUCCCAGGAGCUGACACUGGAUGCUUCCAUGUGAUGAAGCAGAAAAGGUUCAAUGUGUCUUAUUUGAUAACCCCGCCCCCCAUUCUUUCCUUUUUCACGGACUUCAUGAUUCUUCUACAAGGACUCACUAUAGACAGCGUCUAUGUGGCAGCUAUCAGUCACUGUGCUUGGAAGUGACAACAGAGAGGUGCACUGUACUGGAACCAAGAAGAAGAGAGAACAUGCCAACGAUCUCAGCCCAUCCAUCCAUGAG
RNAcentral lists this long non-coding RNA (770 nucleotides) under Cricetulus griseus (Chinese hamster). Its description in RNAcentral is "lncRNA (ENSCGRG00015030668.1)". The record is from RNAcentral. Lineage: Eukaryota; Metazoa; Chordata; Mammalia; Rodentia; Cricetidae.